This 241-nucleotide ribosomal RNA is filed under the name Salmonella enterica subsp. enterica serovar Mikawasima. Its description in RNAcentral is "partial 16S ribosomal RNA". It matches the Rfam family "Bacterial small subunit ribosomal RNA", at positions 154 to 397 of the family's 1533-position model. Lineage: Bacteria; Pseudomonadati; Pseudomonadota; Gammaproteobacteria; Enterobacterales; Enterobacteriaceae. The record is from RNAcentral.
AAACGGUGGCUAAUACCGCAUAACGUCGCAAGACCAAAGAGGGGGACCUUCGGGCCUCUUGCCAUCAGAUGUGCCCAGAUGGGAUUAGCUUGUUGGUGAGGUAACGGCUCACCAAGGCGACGAUCCCUAGCUGGUCUGAGAGGAUGACCAGCCACACUGGAACUGAGACACGGUCCAGACUCCUACGGGAGGCAGCAGUGGGGAAUAUUGCACAAUGGGCGCAAGCCUGAUGCAGCCAUGC